CAGGAGAAGGCGGAAGGUAAAGACCAGCUGGGAAAGUCUUCACAGGCUAAGAAGGAGACAAUAGAAUUGGAAAGACCCACCACAGCUAGCAAAUACGAACUGAAAAACCACAGACAGGUUACAGGGACUGAAUCUGCGAGGAUGGUCAUCAGUCAUCUCCAAUCCCACUGCCUACUACCAUGCUAGGCCCUGAGAGGAUGCUCAACUUGGAGGAAAUGGAGUUUGACAAAGAGUAUUUCCCAAGUGGUCUGGAAGGAAGCAAAAGAAUUAACAAAAUCGAGAGGAGAAAAUGUGAAACCGCAUCAGAAGAUUUAUUGUUGGCACAAGAAAAAAGUGGCUUAUAUAUUGUGUAAAUAAGAAUCCAUGGUAAAUAAAAUUCAAUUAUAAUGAAGCAAUUAUCAUGUCUUAUCAUAUUUGUUCAAACUGGACUCUGCCAAGAAGUAUCCCUUUAGGAUGUCCAUUCAUCUUGGUUUACAUCAAUAGAGAAAUUAUUAAUAGAAUUCCCUCU
This is a long non-coding RNA of Rhinolophus ferrumequinum (greater horseshoe bat), 508 nucleotides long. RefSeq lists it as uncharacterized. The record is from RefSeq and is a predicted model, not a curated record. The transcript is spliced from 3 exons. Lineage: Eukaryota; Metazoa; Chordata; Mammalia; Chiroptera; Rhinolophidae.